This 292-nucleotide ribosomal RNA is filed under the name uncultured prokaryote. RNAcentral describes it as "partial 16S ribosomal RNA". It matches the Rfam family "Bacterial small subunit ribosomal RNA", at positions 505 to 796 of the family's 1533-position model. The record is from RNAcentral.
GUGCCAGCAGCCGCGGUAAUACGGAGGGUGCGAGCGUUAUCCGGAAUCACUGGGCGUAAAGGGCACGUAGGCGGUUUGUUAAGUCUGAUGUUAAAGACUGGGGCUCAACCCCGGCAUGGCGUUGGAUACUGGCAGGCUUGACGGUUGGAGAGGCGAGUGGAAUUGCCAGUGUAGCGGUGGAAUGCGUAGAUACUGGUAGGAACACCUAUUGCGAAGGCAGCUCGCUGGACAAUUCGUGACGCUGAGGUGCGAAAGUGUGGGGAGCAAACCGGAUUAGAAACCCCCGUAGUCC